This 321-nucleotide ribosomal RNA is filed under the name Triticum aestivum (bread wheat). Its description in RNAcentral is "partial small subunit ribosomal RNA". Lineage: Eukaryota; Viridiplantae; Streptophyta; Magnoliopsida; Poales; Poaceae. The record is from RNAcentral.
AUGCAGCUGUGGGAGAGGAACACCUCUGAAGGUGUUGGCAGAUGGGUGCUGCGGAAAACCCUUCAUUUGGGCAAGCUUCUUCCGGAGAAACCGGGGAUGGAGAAAGCGCACAUACAGAUGUUGCGGUAUGCCGAGGAAAGCAAUGUGAUGUUUCUGGUCAUAGGCUUUAGUGUCUUCAUGAUCCAACUUGACUCGCUGCGGUUCAAGCUUAUUUUUGAAAGCAACCUCAGGACCACCUAUCAUCCAUACACAAAUUUCUAUGCUGGAGGAAAGGUAAUUGGUGACAGAGAUGGCGAACCUGAAAUGCUGAACAAUACAUGA